This 1926-nucleotide long non-coding RNA is filed under the name Homo sapiens (human). RNAcentral describes it as "HSALNT0117059". The record is from RNAcentral. Lineage: Eukaryota; Metazoa; Chordata; Mammalia; Primates; Hominidae.
GAAACCGAAUGCAUGUGCGCAUCUUGAGAUGCGUGGGCCUUCUGUCCUGUGUGCAGCUGCGUGUGCUCCCCCACUGGCCCGGCCUGCGCGCUUUUCUGCCCCGGCACUCGCCAGCUGCCCAGUCCAGCUCAAGCCGGGAUUUUCCACGGCUGCCUCUGAACGGUCUCCAAGCCGCAGCUUCCUCUCCUCCUUCUGAGCUCCAAGUACCAUUGCUAUAAGGGGACAGGAGCAGGGUGGGAGAUUGUCCUGAGUCUUGACUCUGACUGUGCUGUGUGCAGGGUUAUCACCUUUCCACAUCCCACUUUCUUCGUCUUUACAGUGGGGAGAGCAACUUUUACCUUUCCCAUCCCGAAGCAGGGCUGUGGUGGUAGGAAGAUCAAAGAAAUUGCUUUAGCUUUUAAAAAUAGACAAGAAGCCAACAGUUCUUGGGUGGACGUGUCAGACCUGUUCCCGACAGGACAGAUGGCAGCACAGCCAGACCCGCUCAGUGUCCCAAGAGCAGCCCCGGCAAAGCAAGGCGGGAGCCGCCCCUCACCAGCCCAGCUGUGCUCACACACCCCCUCUGCAAUGUCGGAUGGUUCACAACAGGAUUUAUCGUUUUCUUUAAAGUCGCCUUGUGGAAACUCUUGUAUCCCUUACUCUCUUGUGCUGUUAUUGAAGGUUUAAUGGGUUCGUUUUGACUCCUCAGAUAGACUGUGCUUGAUAUUUCUUGCAAGCUCAACACGAUGGCUGGAACAUUUUCUGGAGUGUGCUUCAUUCCUUCCUGAUGAUCUCUGCUUACCUGUAGGAUCUUCUGGACUUUUCUUUCAGCUCAAGAAACUUCUUUUACUGUUUAAUGUCAUUCUGUGGCAGGAAAUUGAUCAACUCUUCUCUGACUUGAAAUGUCUUUAUUUCAUCUUAUGUUUAAUGAGGUAUGAUUGCUGUAAAAUAAGUUGCAUAUAUUGAUGAAUACUGAUACAGUGACAUAUUGAUUUCCCAUGAAAACAUGUGUUUCUGUAAGCAAAAGGCUUCCUCAUGUUCCUUGGUGUCCAUUCCUCCCUCUGUUCCUGUCCUGAGGCAACUGUCAGUUUGAUUUCUGCCACUGUAAAAUGGUUUUCAUUUUCCAGAAUUUCAUGUAAAUGGAGUCUUGCAGUGCAUGCUCUUUCUUACUUUUAACCUGGCUGCUUUAAUUUCACCUGACAAUUUUGGGUGCAUCGUCCACUCAUUGCGUCCCCCAGUAGUUUGUUCCUUUUUAUGGCUGAGUCGUUGCCCGUUGCAUGAGCACAGCACAAUUUAUCUACCCAUUUACCUGCUAAUAGACAUUUAUAUUAUUUUCUAUAUUAUUUAAUAUAUAUAUUUAAUAUAUUAUUUAAUAUAUUAUUUUUAUAUUAAAAAUAAAAAAUGAUAUGAGCAUUUGUAUCCAAAAAUUUGGGUCUCAAAUGUAUUAAUUCUAGGAGUAGAAUAUCUGAGUCAUAUGGUAGGUGAAUGUUUAAUGUUUUAUAAAUUGACCACACUGUUUUCCAAAACGGUUUACAUUCUCAGCCGAAGUGUAUAAGAGUUGAAAUUGCUCUGCAUCCUCACCAGCGUUUGCUAUGGUCAUACUUUUAAAUAUUAGAUAUUCUCACACGAGUGCAAUGGUAUUGCUCUUAUGGUUUUAACCUCCUUUUCCCUAAAGACUAGUACUGUUGAGCAUCUUUUCCGUUGCUGAUUUGCCAUUUGUGCAUCUUUUCUUCUUGUUGUUGUUGUUGUUGAAAUAUCCAUUAAAAUAUUUGUCCAACUCAGUCCACAAAUGUACUGAGUUGUUUGUUUUCUUACCAUUGUGUUAUAAAUUAUUUAUAUAUUCAGAACAAAAGCUCUUUUUCAGAUAUUUAUUUUGCAAAUACUUCCUUUCAGUCUAUUAAAUAAUUUUAAUGAUGUCUUUUGAAGAAUAAAAGAUUAUAAUUUUCA